CGGCAAAAGCUCAAAUUUGAAAUCUGGCUUUGUAUCAAAGUCCGAGUUGUAAUUUGUAGAGGAAACUUUGGUGCGGCCUUGGUCUAAGUUCCUUGGAACAGAAUGUCAAAGAGGGUGAGAAUCCCGUCUUGGACCGGCGGUAGGGCCCAUGUGAAACUCCUUCGAC
This 166-nucleotide ribosomal RNA is filed under the name Chaetothyriales sp. RNAcentral describes it as "partial large subunit ribosomal RNA". It matches the Rfam family "Eukaryotic large subunit ribosomal RNA", at positions 99 to 261 of the family's 3401-position model. The record is from RNAcentral. Lineage: Eukaryota; Fungi; Ascomycota; Eurotiomycetes; Chaetothyriales.